Molecule: ribosomal RNA, 200 nt
Filed under: uncultured bacterium
Lineage: Bacteria
Description: partial 16S ribosomal RNA
Rfam family: Bacterial small subunit ribosomal RNA
Source: RNAcentral
AGAGUUUGAUCAUGGCUCAGGACGAACGCUGGCGGCGUGCCUAACACAUGCAAGUCGAGCGAUGAAACCCUUCGGGGUGGAUUAGCGGCGGACGGGUGAGUAACACGUGGGUAACCUGCCUCAAAGAGGGGGAUAGCCUCCCGAAAGGGAGAUUAAUACCGCAUAAGAUUGUAGUGCCGCAUGGCAUAGCAAUUAAAGGA